This is a transfer RNA of Hebeloma cylindrosporum, 105 nucleotides long. It matches the Rfam family "tRNA". Rfam says of the family: Transfer RNA (tRNA) molecules are approximately 80 nucleotides in length. Their secondary structure includes four short double-helical elements and three loops (D, anti-codon, and T loops). The record is from Rfam. NCBI's taxonomy places the organism in Eukaryota, Fungi, Basidiomycota, Agaricomycetes, Agaricales, Hymenogastraceae.
GCCUCCUUGGCUCAGUUGGCUAGAGCGCAGGUCUCAUAUGUUCGUGUAUGAGUAAUCAAAGAUUACGUAAUCCUGAGGUCGCAAGUUCGAGCCUUGCAGGGGGCA